This 85-nucleotide transfer RNA is filed under the name Actinomycetota bacterium. RNAcentral's name for it is "tRNA-Leu". It matches the Rfam family "tRNA". Rfam says of the family: Transfer RNA (tRNA) molecules are approximately 80 nucleotides in length. Their secondary structure includes four short double-helical elements and three loops (D, anti-codon, and T loops). Lineage: Bacteria; Bacillati; Actinomycetota. The record is from RNAcentral.
GCCCGGGUGGCGGAAUUGGUGAUACGCGGCAGACUUAAAAUCUGCUGGCCGAAAGGCCGUGUGGGUUCGAGUCCCACCCCGGGUA